RNAcentral lists this unclassified non-coding RNA (201 nucleotides) under uncultured Tomentella. Its description in RNAcentral is "sequence contains ITS1". Lineage: Eukaryota; Fungi; Basidiomycota; Agaricomycetes; Thelephorales; Thelephoraceae. The record is from RNAcentral.
CUGAGUCGUCGACACGAGUUGUUGCUGGUCCCUGAACAGGGGACACGUGCACGCUCUGUUUACACAUCCACUCACACCUGUGCACCCUCUGUAGUUCUAUGGUCUGGGGGGCCCUGCCUCCCUUCUGUGGUUCUGCAUCUUUACAACACGCAAUGUGAUAAAGUCUCAUGGAAUGUACACCGCGUUUAACGCAAUACAAUA